Molecule: long non-coding RNA, 232 nt
Organism: Mauremys mutica (yellowpond turtle)
Lineage: Eukaryota; Metazoa; Chordata; Testudines; Geoemydidae
Exons: 3
Source: RefSeq, a predicted model, not a curated record
CACAAAUACACAGAAGCCAGUUAAAGGUAGCUGAGUAAGGCCAAGAGUGGGUAUUCACACCCCAUUGAAGCAGAGAGCAACCCCAGGGAGUAACACUACUCAUUGUUUAGGAAAAUAGUACUUAGAGAUGACAAACAGCACGUCAGACUGAAACGUGACCAGAGAAAGGAAGAGACUCAGAUGCCUGAUUCUCCCAGCAAGGCUCAAUUCCAGAAAGUUAUUUAAAGAGCAC